RNAcentral lists this ribosomal RNA (891 nucleotides) under Lecanora tropica. RNAcentral's name for it is "LSU rRNA". It matches the Rfam family "Eukaryotic large subunit ribosomal RNA", at positions 149 to 932 of the family's 3401-position model. Lineage: Eukaryota; Fungi; Ascomycota; Lecanoromycetes; Lecanorales; Lecanoraceae. The record is from RNAcentral.
UUUGUAGAGGGUGUUUCGGGCGCGGUCCCGAUCUAAGUCCUUUGGAACAGGGCGUCAGAGAGGGUGAGAAUCCCGUAUGGGAUCGACGGCCCAGUCCAUGUGAAACCCCUUCGACGAGUCGAGUUGUUUGGGAAUGCAGCUCUAAAUGGGUGGUAAAUUUCAUCUAAAGCUAAAUACCGGCCAGAGACCGAUAGCGCACAAGUAGAGUGAUCGAAAGAUGAAAAGCACUUUGGAAAGAGAGCCAAAAAGUACGUGAAAUUGUUGAAAGGGAAGCGCUUGCAACCAGACCUGUCUGUGGGCGAUCAACCCCCGUUCUCGGAGGCCUAGGCGUCCACGGUCAGGCCAGCAUCGGUUCGGGCGGCGGGACAAAGGUCGGGGGAACGUAGCUCCUCUCGGGGAGUGUUAUAGCCCUCGGCGGAAUGCCGCCAGCCCGGACCGAGGAUCGCGCUUCGGCCAGGAUGCUGGCGUAAUGGUUGUAAGCGGCCCGUCUUGAAACACGGACCAAGGAGUGGAAUAUCUGUACGAGUGUUUGGGUGUCCAAACCCAUGCGCGCAAUGAAAGUGAACGGAGGUGAGAACCCUUCCGGGGGCGCAUCAUCGACCGAUCCAGAUGUUUUCGGAUGGAUUUGAGUACGAGUACAGCUGUUUCGACCCGAAAGAUGGUGAACUAUACGUGGAUAGGGUGAAGCCAGAGGAAACUCUGGUGGAGGCUCGCAGCGGUUCUGACGUGCAAAUCGAUCGUCAAAAAGUACGUGAAAUUGUUGAAAGGGAAGCGCUUGCAACCAGACCUGUCCGUGGGCGAUCAACCCCCGUUCUCGGGGGCCUACGCGUCCACGAUCAGGCCAGCAUCGGUUCGGGCGGCGGGACAAAGGUCGGGGGAACGUAGCUCCUC